This 253-nucleotide ribosomal RNA is filed under the name uncultured bacterium. RNAcentral describes it as "partial 16S ribosomal RNA". It matches the Rfam family "Bacterial small subunit ribosomal RNA", at positions 524 to 776 of the family's 1533-position model. The record is from RNAcentral.
GACGAAGGGGGCUAGCGUUGUUCGGAAUUACUGGGCGUAAAGCGCGUGUAGGCGGUUUUCCAAGUUGGGUGUGAAAGCCUUGGGCUUAACCCAAGAAAUGCACCCAGUACUGGAAGACUAGAGGACCGGAGAGGAUAGUGGAAUUCCCAGUGUAGUGGUGAAAUACGUAGAGAUUGGGAAGAACACCAGUGGCGAAGGCGGCUAUCUGGACGGUUUCUGACACUAAGACGCGAAAGCGUGGGGAGCACACAGG